GCACUUUGAAGAGUUAUUUUGGAGAGCAUAUCUUCGAGUUAUUUUAUUUUGAUUGUCAUUGAUGUAAUAGUUAUUUUCAAGGAGUUACUUUGUAUUAACUUAAAUUCUAUGUUAGCAAGUCGAAACCAAUAUAUGCUUGGAGGCUUGUAUAAAUUUUGGAUGAGAGCUUAUUGAGUGCAUUCUAAUCUGUUCAUUGUGGAACUAUUUUGUGAGAGAGUGCAAAUUGAUGUUGUAAAAAUUGUUGAGUGUUUACUGCCCAAG
This 261-nucleotide long non-coding RNA is filed under the name Gossypium barbadense (sea-island cotton). Its description in RNAcentral is "long non-coding RNA (GBAR_LNC002643)". Lineage: Eukaryota; Viridiplantae; Streptophyta; Magnoliopsida; Malvales; Malvaceae. The record is from RNAcentral.